GACGAACGCUGGCGGCGUGCUUAACACAUGCAAGUCGAACGGAAAGGCCUCUUUCGGGGGGUACUCGAGUGGCGAACGGGUGAGUAACACGUGAGUAACCUGCCCUUGACUUUGGGAUAACUUCAGGAAACUGGGGCUAAUACCGGAUAGGAGCUCCUGCUGCAUGGUGGGGGUUGGAAAGUUUCGGCGGUUGGGGAUGGCCUCGCGGCUUAUCAGCUUGUUGGUGGGGUAGUGGCUUACCAAGGCUUUGACGGGUAGCCGGCCUGAGAGGGUGACCGGCGAUAUUGGGACGGAGGUGAGGCCGAAGCACCGAAGGGGGAGAAAAGGGGGAAAGAUGGAAGGAGGGGUGAAGGCUGAGUGAAGAAGGGGUGGGGGGGGGAUGACGGCUUGAGGGUUGAAAACCACUUGCGAAAAGAAAGAGGCUUUGGGUGAAGGGAGAGGAAAAAGAAGCCCCGGAUAACUAAGUG
RNAcentral lists this ribosomal RNA (467 nucleotides) under uncultured bacterium. Its description in RNAcentral is "partial 16S ribosomal RNA". It matches the Rfam family "Bacterial small subunit ribosomal RNA", at positions 28 to 507 of the family's 1533-position model. The record is from RNAcentral.